AUGCCACUGGUUGUGGUAUAGUGAUGGAACUACUCCACACUUAAAAUAUCUCAAAUUCGAACACUGAAUAUGAAAAAAAUUCAAUUGAAAAUAUUCACCUAUAAUGAAUCUCGUAAUUUAAAUUUAAUCGAGAUUCUACUAAUCGAACCAAAACAAAAAGUUAAAAUACUUGUGAGAGAGAAUUUGGAUAUUCUUUUGAUAAAUAAAGCAGGAAAAGUAGAAUCCAAACAGUUGCAGGGGUAACUUAGUAAAAUUAUUCUUAAGUAAACCCUAGUUUCGAAUCCCCCGGAGUCUGUAGUGACACCUAUAAAUUCCCAAAAUGGCAGCAUUCGCUCAACAAGAACCCUAGCCACCACCAUUCCAAAUCUUUUCCACUAUUUUGUACUUUUUCUUUUGGUACAAGCCUGAUGAUUGUCAAUUAAGAACGGAGAUUCGAAUGUUGCUAUCUGUUGAAGCCUUCUUAUAUGUUGGGCUCCAGUGGCGUCACAUGUGAUAAACUUUCUUACAUAUGAUGAAGGCUUUUUUUACCAAAAAUAAUCAGAUACAUUGGUUUUAUCAUCUAUUUGUCUUCUAACUUGGUGGGUUUUCUUCUUGCAGAUGAUUUGUUAUCGGUAAGAAUGGACUGCUGGAUCAUAAUUGAUGAACUAUUAAACUACCAUGAUAAUCAUCUCGUCAUCGUUUACUCUUGAUGCAUUAUUUUGGUGUGUUGCAGCAAAUUUAUUAGGAUUAGUGAUGGAUCACUCUAUAUAUAUGGUCCUCUAGUUAUUCCCACAGAUGUGUUUUCCACAGUUCCUGCAAUGCGGGAUUUUCAAUAUUUUGAUUAUACAUGUUGUCCAAGUUGGAAUUUUUUCUAAUAAGUGAUGUAAAUAUAUUUUUGUUCAAUUAGUUUGAGACUGAGUUGUAAUGUAUGAAUUGUUUAAUUAUUUAUCAAAAAGCUUCACAUCUUGUAGUUA
Molecule: long non-coding RNA, 953 nt
Organism: Solanum pennellii
Lineage: Eukaryota; Viridiplantae; Streptophyta; Magnoliopsida; Solanales; Solanaceae
Exons: 2
Source: RefSeq, a predicted model, not a curated record